This 687-nucleotide ribosomal RNA is filed under the name uncultured bacterium. Its description in RNAcentral is "bacterial SSU rRNA". It matches the Rfam family "Bacterial small subunit ribosomal RNA", at positions 9 to 663 of the family's 1533-position model. The record is from RNAcentral.
GAGUUUGAUCCUGAGCUCAGAGCGAACGCUGGCGGCACGCUUUACACAUGCAAGUCGAGCGAGAAAGCGGCUUCGGUCGCAAGUAUAGCGGCGGACGGGUGCGUAUAACGUGGAUAACCUGCCUUAAGGACCGGGACAACCUUGGGAAACCAAGGCUAAUACCGGAUAUGACCACGAUGUCUGAGGGCAACGGGGUAAAAGAUGACCGUUUACGGUUGUCGCCUUUUGAGGGGUCCACGUCCUAUCAGGUAGUUGGUGGGGUAAAGGCCUACCAAGCCAAAGACGGGUAGCCGGCCUUAGCGGGUGAUCGGCACACGGGGACUGAGACACGGCCCGACUCCUACGGGAGGCAGCAGUGGGGAAUCAUUGGGCAAUGGGCGAAAGCCUGACCCAGCGAUGCCGCGUGAGGGAAGAAGGCCUUCGGGUUGUAAACCUAUGUCAAGAGGGAAGAAGGGUCUGCAAAUUAACCUUGCGGGCUUGACUGUACCUCCAGAGGAAGCCCCGGUAACUCCGUGCCAGCAGCCGCGGUAAUACGGAGGGGCAAGCGUUGCUCCGGAAUUACUUGGGGCGUAAAAGAGUCCGGAGGUGGGGUCUUGGGCAAGUUGGGGAUGUGACAAGCCCGGAGCUUACAACUCCGGGAAUUUGCUUCCAAAAUUGUUUGGACUUUGAGUCCAAGAGAGGUUGGGG